CCUACGGGAGGCAGCAGUGGGGAAUAUUGCACAAUGGGGGAAACCCUGAUGCAGCGACGCCGCGUGAGUGAAGAAGUAACUCGUUAUGUAAAGCUCUAUCAGUAGGGAAGAAAAUGACGGUACCUGAGUAAGAAGCCCCGGCUAACUACGUGCCAGCAGCCGCGGUAAUACGUAGGGGGCAAGCGUUAUCCGGAUUUACUGGGUGUAAAGGGAGCGUAGACGGCAGUGCAAGUCCGGAGUGAAAGUCGGAGGUUCAACCCCCGGACUGCCCUUGAAACUGUACGGCUGGAGUGCAGGAGAGGUAAGUGGAAUUCCUGGUGUAGCGGUGAAAUGCGUAGAUAUUAGGAAGAACACCGAUGGCGAAGGCGGCUUACUGGACUGUAACUGACGUUGAGGCUCGAAAGCGUGGGGAGCAAACAGGAUUAGAUACCCGGGUAGUC
RNAcentral lists this ribosomal RNA (440 nucleotides) under uncultured bacterium. RNAcentral describes it as "partial 16S ribosomal RNA". It matches the Rfam family "Bacterial small subunit ribosomal RNA", at positions 338 to 795 of the family's 1533-position model. The record is from RNAcentral.